Long non-coding RNA from Piliocolobus tephrosceles (Ugandan red Colobus), 651 nucleotides. RefSeq lists it as uncharacterized. NCBI's taxonomy places the organism in Eukaryota, Metazoa, Chordata, Mammalia, Primates, Cercopithecidae. The transcript is spliced from 2 exons. The record is from RefSeq and is a predicted model, not a curated record.
CCGUGUACAAGUGUAUAUAUAUAUAUAUAUAUAUAUAUAUAUAUACAUAUGUACAUACGUUUUUACAUGUGUAUAUUUUAUAAUUUUAAUGGGUAUAUACUAACAUGAGUUGUGUUUGCAAUUAGUUCUAACAUAUCUUGAUAGAGUAAGGAAUUUUUUUUUUUUUUUUUAUAAUAUAAUUAUUUAUUUUUAUUUAUAUAUAUAUAUAUAUAUAUGUAAUACCAUCACCUAUAAAAUAUAUAUGAAAAAAAAAAUAUAUGUGACUUAAUGCUUUACUCAUGUGUUUCAUUUUAUUUGUGAUCGACCAACAAAUUUGAAACAUAUACAUGUAUAUUAAAGCAAAACAUAAUUUUGUGGUACUUCUGUAAGAUACAUAUAUUAAUAGAAUAUCCAUAUAUAUAUAUAUAUAUAUAUAUAUUGUCAAGGUUUAGUGACAAAAUGAGUCAAAAAAACAAUAUGUUUCAAAUUUUAAACCAGGAAGAUAAUAUAAAAAGGAAAGCAAAAAAAAUUAAAGAGUCUCAAAAAAAAAAAAGAAAAUGAAAAAAAAGAGAUGAUAGAUCAGUUUUCAAUUGAUAUCAGUAAAUACAUUACGAAUCCUUAUGACGAUGAUGAAUAUGAUGAGUUUUUUUAUAAUGUCGAUAAAUUACAAGA